This is a long non-coding RNA of Xenopus laevis (African clawed frog), 1341 nucleotides long. RefSeq lists it as uncharacterized. The record is from RefSeq and is a predicted model, not a curated record. The transcript has 4 exons. NCBI's taxonomy places the organism in Eukaryota, Metazoa, Chordata, Amphibia, Anura, Pipidae.
GGCGUCCACAGAGGGGGGCAAGAGGGGUCAGUGCCCCCCCCUGGGACCAGCAGACUGACCAUCUGUUUAUUCGGGCAUUUUGUAAUGUGGGCCGCUCCUGAUCUAUAAUGUUCAUUUCAAACUGUGGGCUCUAGGACCGCUCCUCCGUCCCAGCUCCCACUGUGGCUCCGCCCCUUCCACUCGUCUCCGUUCUCAUGCUGUGCUGUGUGCAGGCCUGCUGCCUGCCUGCCAUCAGGGGGAACAAGGAAGAAAGUUUUGGGCCAGGCAGGAUUUAGGCUCAAAGGGGGAUUAGCCAGCCCCCCUUACGAGCGUGGACAUCACUGAUGCCGAAGACGGAAGUACAGGAACUGAUGUGUGAAAAGCAAAAGAUGCCCACUACAUCUAUGGACAUAAAUAGGCCUUUAUAUCUCUUCAGCCAGUCUUGAUGUGGAGCACCUUGGCUUUCUGGGAUAUCACCUUGUUGAACGCAGUUCUUCAUUUUUCUGAGGCCCAUUAUCGACAAUGUCCAUUCCUCUAGCAGCCUGAAGAAAAGAAGCCAAAUCAAUUUCUGUAAAAAGCUGCUCAACUCUUCUGUGAUAACUUGUUUUCCAAAUAAAAAUCAAACAGGCUGCUGUGCAUAACCACUACAAAGGAACUAAUUCAAGAGGCCAAUGAAGGACAUGCAAUCAGAAAUGGAUACCUGUGCAGUAGGGUUAAGUAAACCCCCAUGUUAGUUAGUGUUUGAAGGCAAGACAAGGCCAUCAGCAACUUCAUCAUAGCACUGGGAAAUGUAACUGGUUAUCCAAGAACCAUCUGCAGGGCAAUUGUGAGUGACUGCCCUACAUGUUGUAAAUGACCCCUAAAGUAUCUUGCAGUAGAAACACCUGCGUGUUCUAAUUUUUGGAAUAAGAAGAAAAAAAUCUGCUGCAAAGUCUUCCAUUCAUUUUGAUAACUGUAUUGUUUAUACUGUGGCAAUGACCUUUAUCCUUGAUAAAUCAUUAAAAAAAAAGUAAGAGAAACUAAAACUCCAGCUCCCCUUAACUUCUUAUAUUCCAACAGUACAGAGUAGGUACAGAAAGGACCUAUAACCAAGUAUCACCUGGUGGAUGAACACAGGAACUAUGUUCAAAUUCACUUACUCCAAUUUCGCAGGAGAAGCAAUAUUAGGGGGGAUCGUUUUUCAACACAGUAAAUGGGAAUAUUUGCAAUAAUGACACAAAUGCAUUAUUGUCACCCAUAGUUUUGAGAAUAAGUAGUGAUUCCUUUCAUAUGUAAUGGGAAGUAUUUUGUGGCAAUUUCCAUGCUUUUCCAUGCUAAUCAGCACAUCUUGUACUCAAUAAAACUCAUAAUGUAGUAAAAUUG